This 253-nucleotide ribosomal RNA is filed under the name uncultured bacterium. RNAcentral's name for it is "partial 16S ribosomal RNA". It matches the Rfam family "Bacterial small subunit ribosomal RNA", at positions 524 to 776 of the family's 1533-position model. The record is from RNAcentral.
UACGUAGGGGGCAAGCGUUGUCCGGAAUCAUUGGGCGUAAAGCGCGUGUAGGCGGCCCGAUAAGUCCGCUGUGAAAGUCCAGGGCUUAACCGGGAGGGUGCGGCGAAUACUGAGAUGCUGGAGUGCGGGAGAGGUAAGCGGAAUUCCUGGUGUAGCGGUGAAAUGCGUAGAUAUCAGGAGGAACACCUGCGGUGUAGACGGCUUACUGGACCGUAACUGACGCUGAGGCACGAAAGCGUGGGUAGCAAACAGG